RNAcentral lists this transfer RNA (76 nucleotides) under Kerstersia similis. RNAcentral describes it as "tRNA-Lys(ctt)". It matches the Rfam family "tRNA". Rfam says of the family: Transfer RNA (tRNA) molecules are approximately 80 nucleotides in length. Their secondary structure includes four short double-helical elements and three loops (D, anti-codon, and T loops). The record is from RNAcentral. RNAcentral also lists the same sequence under 5 other names. Lineage: Bacteria; Pseudomonadati; Pseudomonadota; Betaproteobacteria; Burkholderiales; Alcaligenaceae.
GGGUUGUUAGCUCAGUUGGUAGAGCAGCGGACUCUUAAUCCGUAGGUCGUAGGUUCGAACCCUACACAACCCACCA